Molecule: long non-coding RNA, 405 nt
Organism: Ornithorhynchus anatinus (platypus)
Lineage: Eukaryota; Metazoa; Chordata; Mammalia; Monotremata; Ornithorhynchidae
Exons: 2
Source: RefSeq, a predicted model, not a curated record
UUGAUAAUGGAGGACUGAGGGCAGAAGGAAGAUUCAGAGCCACCAAGACCACUAUGACUUAGUGAAAACCAAAAGGUGUCAUACCAAUUUGAUUUCUUCUCUGAUCAUAUUCUUCUUUGUCUCUGUGGAUUGUCCCUUUAUCUAGACUUUACUAACGCUUCAGAUUAUGUUCUACAAGACACUUGCUUCAAUGAUUAGGGAAAGUACAGCCUGGAACAAUGUUUCCCUACUGUUAUCUGUUCCAGAGCACAUGAAGACAUGAGUGGAGGUUGAAUUUCUAACAAGGAUCCUACUUUAAAGAUGAUCAAUAACCUACUAAUUGUUUAUGAGUCCCUGUGGCAGAAACACCCAGAUAUUUCCCAGCUCUAGAAGUCUCAACAUAAAAUGAUGAACAUCUUAAACAAA